This 71-nucleotide transfer RNA is filed under the name Anolis pygmaeus (Chiapas pigmy anole). Its description in RNAcentral is "tRNA-Tyr". The record is from RNAcentral. Lineage: Eukaryota; Metazoa; Chordata; Lepidosauria; Squamata; Anolidae.
UGAUAAAGAAGGGAAUUAAACCCACGUAAGUAGGACUACAGCCUACCGCCUACCAUUCGGCCACUUUACCU